AGAGUUUGAUCCUGGCUCAGAACGAACGCUGGCGGCGUGGAUAAGACAUGCAAGUCGAGCGGGAUUUCUUUUGGUAGCAAUACCGAAGGAAGUCUAGCGGCGAACGGGUGCUUAACACGUGGGCAACCUGCCAAGAAGUGGGGGAUAGCUCGCCGAAAGGCGAAUUAAUACCGCAUGUGAUUAGAGAGGACAUCCUUUCGAAAUUAAAGUCGGGGCAACCUGACGCUUUUUGUGGGGCGCGCGGCCUAUCAGCUAGUUGGUGAGGUAACGGCCCACCAAGGCUUUGACGGGUAGCUGGUCUGAGAGGACGACCAGCCACACUGGGACUGAGACACGGCCCAGACACCUACGGGUGGCAGCAGUCGAGAAUUUUUGACAAUGGGGGAAACCCUGAUCGAGCGACGCCGCGUGGAGGAUGAAGGUCUUCGGAUUGUAAACUCCUGUCAUUGGGGAACAAGGUGCAUAUGUUAACUGCGUGUGUAUUGAUAGUACCCGAAGAGGAAGAGACGGCUAACUCUGUGCCAGCAGCCGCGGUAAUACAGAGGUCUCAAGCGUUGUUCGGAUUCAUUGGGCGUAAAGGGUGCGUAGGCGGCGCGGUAAGUCGGGUGUGAAAUCUCGGGGCUUAACUCCGAAACUGCAUUCGAUACUGCCGUGCUUGAGGACUGGAGAGGAGACUGGAAUUUACGGUGUAGCGGUGAAAUGCGUAGAUAUCGUAAGGAAGACCAGUGGCGAAGGCGGGUCUCUGGACAGUUCCUGACGCUGAGGCACGAAGGUCAGGGGAGCAAACGGGAUUAGAUACCCCCGUAGUCC
RNAcentral lists this ribosomal RNA (810 nucleotides) under uncultured bacterium. Its description in RNAcentral is "bacterial SSU rRNA". It matches the Rfam family "Bacterial small subunit ribosomal RNA", at positions 8 to 796 of the family's 1533-position model. The record is from RNAcentral.